GACGAACGCUGGCGGCGUGCUUAACACAUGCAAGUCGAGCGGUAAGGCCCUUUCGGGGGUACACGAGCGGCGAACGGGUGAGUAACACGUGGGUGACCUGCCCUCAGCUCUGGGAUAAGCCUGGGAAACCGGGUCUAAUACUGGAUAUGACUCCAUGACGCAUGUUGGUGGGGUGGAAAGCCUUGUGCGGCUGAGGAUGGGCCCGCGGCCUAUCAGCUUGUUGGUGGGGUGANGGCCUACCAAGGCGACGACGGGUAGCCGGCCUGAGAGGGCGACCGGCCACACUGGGACUGAGACACGGCCCAGACUCCUACGGGAGGCAGCAGUGGGGAAUCUUGCGCAAUGGGCGAAAGCCUGACGCAGCGACGCCGCGUGA
RNAcentral lists this ribosomal RNA (376 nucleotides) under uncultured bacterium. RNAcentral's name for it is "bacterial SSU rRNA". It matches the Rfam family "Bacterial small subunit ribosomal RNA", at positions 28 to 404 of the family's 1533-position model. The record is from RNAcentral.